Molecule: ribosomal RNA, 497 nt
Filed under: uncultured bacterium
Lineage: Bacteria
Description: partial 16S ribosomal RNA
Rfam family: Bacterial small subunit ribosomal RNA
Source: RNAcentral
GAUGAACGCUGGCGGCGUGCCUAAUACAUGCAAGUCGAGCGAACAGAUGAGGAGCUUGCGCCUCUCACGUUAGCGGCGGACGGGUGAGUAACACGUGGAUAACCCACCUAUAAGACGGGGAUAACUUCGGGAAACCGGAGCUAAUACCGGAUAAUAUAUUGAACCGCAUGGUUCAAUAGUGAAAGACGGUUUUGCUGUCACUUCUAGAGGGAUCCUCGCCGCAUUAGCGAGUUGGUAAGGUAACGGCUUACGAGGGGAACGAGGCGUUGGCGAGCGGAGGGGGGGAUAGCCGACCUGGGAGCUGGGCCGCGCACAAGGCUCCUACGGUAGGGCCCAGUAGCGAAUCUUCCGCAGUGGUCGGGAGCCUGGCGGAGCGGCGCGGCGCCAGAGAUGAAGGUCUUCGGAUCGUGAUGCUCUCUUAUUAGGGAUGAACAGAUGUGUAAGUAGCUGUGCACGUAGUGACGGUACCUAGUCAGAAAGCCCCGGCUAACUACGUG